This 6159-nucleotide long non-coding RNA is filed under the name Brassica napus (rape). RNAcentral describes it as "long non-coding RNA (BNAP_LNC002471)". Lineage: Eukaryota; Viridiplantae; Streptophyta; Magnoliopsida; Brassicales; Brassicaceae. The record is from RNAcentral.
UAGAUCUGAUCCACAAGCAAGCCACCGAUCACCUCACGCUUGUGAACGCUUACGCUGCUUACGCUAGGAAGCUCAAGCUCGACGCGUCGAAGCAGCUGAAGCUCUUCGAAGAUCUGGCGGUUAACUUCUCCGAUCUGCAGGCCAAACCUGGACUGAAGCUCGAAAACGGGAACGCGAUCGAGGAGGAUGCGUUUCGGCAGAUCGAGAAAGAGGUUAAAGAUAAGGUGAAGACCGCGAGGAUGAUGAUCGUUGAGUCCAAAGAGAGUUACGAUACACAGCUCAAGAUCCAGAAGCUCAAGGAUACGAUCUUCGCUGUUCAAGAACAGUUGACGAAAGCUAAGAAAAACGGCGCCGUUGCGAGCUUGAUCUCGGCUAAGUCGGUUCCCAAGAGUCUUAACUGUUUGGCUAUGAGGCUUGUUGGUGAGAGGAUCUCUAACCCUGAGAAGUAUAAGGAUGCUCCGUUUGAUUCGGCUGUGUUGGAGGAUCCGAGUCUUUAUCACUACGCGGUUUUCUCUGAUAAUGUGAUUGCUGUUUCCGUUGUGGUGAGGUCGGUUGUGGUGAACGCUGAGGAGCCGUGGAAGCAUGUGUUUCAUGUGGUGACUGAUAGGAUGAAUCUCGCCGCUAUGAAGGUUUGGUUUAAGAUGCGUCCUUUGGACCGUGGUGCUCGUGUUGAGAUUAAGUCGGUUGAGGAGUUUAAGUUCUUGAACUCUUCGUAUGCGCCGGUCUUGAGGCAGUUAGAGUCUGCUAAGUUGCAGAAGUUUUACUUUGAGAACCAGGCGGAGAACUCGACUAGAGAUGAACAUAACAUCAAGUUCAAGAACCCCAAGUAUCUCUCGGUGUUGAACCAUCUGAGAUUCUACUUACCGGAGAUGUAUCCGAAGCUGAAUAAGAUCUUGUUCUUGGACGAUGAUGUUGUGGUGCAGAAGGACGUGACUGGGUUGUGGAAGAUUAAUUUAGAUGGGAAGGUGAAUGGAGCUGUUGAGACGUGCUUUGGCUCUUUUCAUCGAUAUGGUCAAUACCUAAACUUCACUCAUCCUCUGAUCAAAGAGAGCUUUAACCCCAAUGCUUGUGCUUGGGCCUUUGGGAUGAAUAUAUUUGAUCUCAAUGCUUGGAGGCGCGAGAAAUGCACAGAUCAAUACCAUUACUGGCAGAACUUGGUAAGCCCCAUAUCUUUCUUAGUAACUUAUGCAUUUCAAAAAAUCUCUUUUAUCUUGUGUUGAUUGUGUGCUAAUCUCUGAGCAGAAUGAAGACAGAAGUCUCUGGAAAUUAGGCACUCUGCCUCCGGGACUGAUGACAUUCUAUUCAAAGACGAAAUCACUGGACAAGUCCUGGCAUGUGCUUGGGUUAGGCUACAACCCGGGAGUGAGCAUGGACGAGAUAAAAAAAGCAGCAGUGAUACAUUACAAUGGGAACAUGAAACCAUGGCUAGACAUUGCUAUGAACCAAUACAAGUCUCUCUGGACUAAAUACGUCGACAACGAAAUGGAGUUUGUGCAGAUGUGCAAUUUUGGUCUUUAAAGAAAGAUAUCGAUGAAGAGGUAACCUCAAAUCGAUAUAUGUUCAGUCAUUCAGGGCAUUCUUUAGCUUAUAUACGUUUAUCUUUUAUAUAUUAUAUAGGGUUACAAAAGUGUUUUGCUUUGUUCUUUCUGUCAUAGUUUUGUUCUUUAUUUAUAUUUUGUGUAACUCUUUCACAUCAAAAGCUUUAUCCAAAACUACAAUGUGUUAAGGUUUGUUUCAUGCAAAGUUUUGACUUAUGAUUGAAACAUUAAAGAGAAAUGGAUUAGGAAGAUAAUGAAUUUUUAUCAUAUGUUGAUUUAGUUUCAUUUUAUUACUAAAAUCAUGAUGAGCUAACUACUUUACAAAACACAAUAAGAUUUUAUCAUAUGUUUGUAUAUCUACAAAAAUAGUUAGAAAUUCAACAAAGUUGUUAUGACCGUUUCUCACCGCAAGACAGAAACUCAAAGAUCCUGUCUCGAGUCAAUGUACGUCCAAACUGCACAAACCCAUCGCACCUUCCGGUCUCUCUGUCUAGGUCAACGAGCGUUGACUUCAAUUUCUCCAGUUCCUCCUCCAUCCCUCCCAUAGCAAAUGCCACAGACGACCGUUUAUUCACGGCGAUGUCCACCGUUAGUCUAAUGGAUCUCUCCACCGCCUCCAACAUACUCACAAGUCUGCUCAUCUUCUCAACCUCCUUGAGAGCCACCAUCGUUUCCCUCUCCAUCGACGUCACUGCUGUCUUUUCCCGUUUCAGAGUUUCCGACGACUCUCUCCACCUCGAAGCAGCAAAGUUAGUCACUGCUUCAACCGGUACAGGUACAAAGAUACCCGCCACGAUUUUUCCCACGGCCACUAGAGCGAUCAUCGCCGCCGCAACCUUGAUCCUUGGAUGCUGUCUUUAUGGAGUACAUUAUAUCAGAUCAAUCCAAAAUACUUUCCUAAAGGUCCAGAUGUGAUGAUUCCUCAAGAUGAAUUAACUGAUCAGCCCAAAUAUAGGAUCUUAUAUCAUAAGCAGGAGACACUGGAGCCUGAAUUGAUGGCAGAGUCAGGUACACCAAGUUUUUAUUCCUAUCAUGUUUUUAAGGAGGGGAUUCAUGGUGUGGAUACUUUGCUCCAUCAUGUUAGCUUAGGACUAUGUUAUGCUACUUAACAGUGAACUUUCUGUCUAGUUAAUAAUGGUAAUUGCUAGAAAAAUGUCAAUGUAGAGAAAUGACUUUUAAUGUUCUGGUUCAGUUGGCUCGUGAACUCUUGCAUAAUAUGCCUCUUAUUGUUUUAGCAGACAUCAUAGAAAGAGCCCGUGGAAUGUCACCCGGAAAAUUAUCCAAGGACAAAACUAAACCAGACUGCUUUCUCAAGAUGGUACUAUGCACAUCCAUUAUAUUUUUUUUUUGAUUUUAUGUUAUAUAUGCUAUGCAACCUUGCUGGUUAUGCUAUUUUUUUAUGCUGUGUUACCUUGAAUACGGAUUUGAUGGUCCUUCUUGGUCAAAAUAUGUUUUCUUAAAAUAUCUUAUUUCUGGUAAGCCUGGAUGAUAUGAGUUUUAUUCCCUUGGCUUGCAUUUAAAUAUUUCAAUCAUGCAGAUUAAAAAUGAAGUCUUGACGAAAGCUGGAAGUACAAAGGAUGUCCGCCACUUCGAGUUCCAAUUUGUUUCUUCUGUAAGUAACUUUGCUAUCACUUACUAACUAGUUUCAAUCAAUUUCUCCUCUUUUAUGAAGUGGUUGUUCAAUUAAUUUCUCCUCUUUGUUUUUUUUUUAAUUCAUUUAAGAGUAUCAAAUAUGAAGUGGGCGAUGUUGUUGAGCUUCUUCCAAGCCAAGAUUCUUCAGCAAUAGAUGCGUUUAUAAAACGCUGUCAUUUGGACCCGGAAUCAUUCAUCACAGUAAGUAGCUCCACUCUGUUGACAUGAUGAUCCCAGAUUGUCUAACUGAAGUAAAUUUUGAUAACUAAUUUACUUUCAGGUUUGUCCGAGAGAGACAGUGAAUAAUGGUUCAUGUGGAGAAGUAAUUACACACCAUGUCCCUAUCAAGCUUAAGACUUUUGUUGAAUUAACAAUGGACGUUACAUCUGCUUCACCUCGACGAUACUUCUUCGAGGUAAGAGUCCUAAUGAUCUUGAAUAUCAGAUUUUUAUAAUGUAAUUUUAAGUAUUUGAUGGAAGUCGUUACAAUGUAUCUUCUCGGUGUCAGGUUAUGAGCUUCUAUGCAACAGCUGAACUUGAGAAGGAAAGACUGCAAUACUUUGCCUCAGCCGAGGGACGUGAUGACCUCUACAAUUACAAUCAGAAGGAAAGAAAAAGCGUCCUUGAGGUAACCAAUUGGGGACACCAUGAUUCGUCUUGAACCAAAUAGAUCUUAUUGCUACUGCCUAUGUAGGUGCUAGAGGAUUUCUCUUCCGUGCAAAUGCCUUUUGAGUGGCUAGUACAGUUAGUACCAUCGCUAAAACCACGAGCUUUUUCGAUAUCUUCAUCUCCUUUGGCCCACCCUGGUCAAGUACAUUUGACAGUAAGCGUGGUAUCAUGGAUCACCCCUUCAUACCCUUAUAAGAGAACUCGAAAAGGUCUAUGCUCCUCUUGGCUCGCAAGCCUCACACCUGAGCAAGGUUAGCACUGUGUUUCUAUGUAUUAUUUUAACUGACUCAGGUCUUUGUUUCUACGUAUUUAUCUUACAUUUUGUGUUCCGUUGUGUUUAGAGAUAAACAUACCGAUUUGGUUUCACAAAGGCUCUCUUCCUGCUCCACCACAGUCGCUUCCACUCAUCUUAGUGGGACCUGGAACCGGAUGUGCCCCUUUCCGCGGGUUCAUAGCUGAGAGAGCCGUGCAAGCUCAGACCAGCCCGAUCGCACCAGUCAUGUUCUUCUUUGGUUGCAGGAACAAAGACACUGACUUUUUAUACAAAGACUUCUGGGAGUCUCAUGCAAGAGAAGGAGGCAUGCUCUCUGAAGUAAAAGGCGGAGGGUUUUACACAGCAUUCUCUAGAGACCAACCGAAGAAGGUUUACGUGCAACACAGGAUACUAGAGAUGAGGAAGAAAGUUUGGGAUUUGCUAUGUGAUGGAGCCGCCGUUUACGUGGCGGGCUCGUCCACGAAAAUGCCUUGUGAUGUGAUGUCGGCCUUGGAGGAGAUUGUGAUGGAGGAGACCGGAGGAUCAAAGGAAAUGGCUUCACGGUGGCUCAAGGCUUUGGAGAAAGCUGGGAGAUACAAUGUUGAAGCUUGGUCUUAAACCCAACUUCCUCCAUAUCAUGUAAUGUUUGAUUACUAGCUAUACGAAUCAUUGGAUUAUUUAUUUAUUUAAAUUGAUUUUAUAAUAUUCACAUUGAACGGUUCAAAUGAAGAUGAUUUGUUUGAUUGUAUACAUUUGAACUUUAUUUAUAAUUUAAUUUUAAUUUUUUUUAUAUAACGAGGUUCUUACCUUUUUCAUUUUAACUAGAGUUUGUUGAAUAAAUCAUUCACCUCACUGAAUAAUACAAGAUUUCAGUGUUUAUAUAAAAAUCAUCAAUUAAAUAACAUCAGAUUUUAAACAGAACUGAAAAUCAACGUACAAUGUCAAUUACUCAAUUUUUUUAUUUAUUAAUUUAUUGUAUAAUAACACUUUAGUUAUUUUUCAAAUGUUUUCGAUCGGCAAAUUUAAUAGAAUAUAUUUAUUCUUCAAUUAAUCAUUGAGUGGCAAAAUUAAAAAUGAAAUAAUCAAUUGUUAUAAAAUGGACAGAAACUAUUAUUUUUCUAAAUUUGUUUAUUUUUUUAAAAAAAAUUGUGCAGUCAAAGUGUUAGUUGAUAAUAAUUCUACACAAACAAUACUUUCAAGUAUUAAAGCUGCUGGUUUCAAAUACUUUGGUAAUAAAAUGUUAAUGUCCUAAAGUAUAUAGGUGAGACUGGGGUUUUAAUAAUAUUGAGAGUUUAUAUCUACACUAUAAAUUAGUAAUUGUUUAUUAAACCAAUGAUUAAUGACAUUAACGUGUCUUCUUCACUAAAAUGUCUUGAGAUCUCUAUCCAUCCCAUCACUCUCCAGAGGCUAAUUCACACUCUAUCGGGCAAGCAAGAACCUCAUCCCCAUCUGAACUUUUUUUUUUUUAAACUGACUUAUAAAAGGUAAAGCUAAAUGGCGGUGGCCUUCCAUGGAGGCCGGAACGGCGUCGGAUCGGGACUCCGCAGUUUCUUCUCGUACCGGAUCUUCAUCUCCGCCUUGUUCUCUUUCCUCUUCCUCGCCACCUUCUCCGUUGUCCUCAACUCCUCUCGUCACCAACCUCAUCUCGAUCACGUAAGCUUCCGAUUCGUUUCACAAUCCGAAUCAAAAUUUAGAAAUGAAUUUAGAAUCUGAGCUUCGAUUUUUGGUGUUUAGACAUUGCCGAGGACGUUUCAAUCGGAUCCGUUGAAAGCUAGGUUAGAUCUGAUCCACAAGCAAGCCACCGAUCACCUCACGCUUGUGAACGCUUACGCUGCUUACGCUAGGAAGCUCAAGCUCGACGCGUCGAAGCAGCUGAAGCUCUUCGAAGAUCUGGCGGUUAACUUCUCCGAUCUGCAGGCCAAACCUGGACUGAAGCUCGAAAACGGGAACGCGAUCGAGGAGGAUGCGUUUCGGCAGAUCGAGAAAGAGGUUAAAGAUAAGGUGAAGACCGCGAGGAUGAUGAUCGUUGAGUCCAAAGAGAGUUACGAUACACAGCUCAAGAUCCAGA